Molecule: transfer RNA, 72 nt
Filed under: Actinomadura sp. WMMB 499
Lineage: Bacteria; Bacillati; Actinomycetota; Actinomycetes; Streptosporangiales; Thermomonosporaceae
Also listed under: 1 other name
Description: tRNA-Arg
Rfam family: tRNA
About the family: Transfer RNA (tRNA) molecules are approximately 80 nucleotides in length. Their secondary structure includes four short double-helical elements and three loops (D, anti-codon, and T loops).
Source: RNAcentral
GCCCGUCUAGUUCAAUGGAUAGAGCACGAGGCUACGAACCUCGGAAUCCGGGUUCGAAUCCUGGGACGGGUA